This 253-nucleotide ribosomal RNA is filed under the name uncultured bacterium. RNAcentral describes it as "partial 16S ribosomal RNA". It matches the Rfam family "Bacterial small subunit ribosomal RNA", at positions 524 to 776 of the family's 1533-position model. The record is from RNAcentral.
CACGUAGGGCGCAAGCGUUGUCCGGAAUUAUUGGGCGUAAAGAGCUCGUAGGCGGUCUGUUGCGUCCGCUGUGAAAACUCGGGGCUUAACCCCGAGCCUGCAGUGGAUACGGGCAGACUAGAGGUAGGUAGGGGAGAAUGGAAUUCCCGGUGUAGCGGUGAAAUGCGCAGAUAUCGGGAGGAACACCGGUGGCGAAGGCGGUUCUCUGGGCCUUAACUGACGCUGAGGAGCGAAAGCGUGGGGAGCGAACAGG